ACUUUAAAUGUAAUUAUCCAAAGUAUGGUUCCGGAGACAUUGGGAGAUUGAGCACUCCUUCAGAACGAUUCUACGGGGAAAAAAAACAAAAAACAAAAAACAAAAAAACAGUGGCCAGAGACUUGAGCAGGAUGUGUGAAGGGAUUUAAUAAUGGAACUUGUGGCAACAGUAGACUUCAGAGACCAGACUGGCGGCUUGAAGAAAGCUAUUUUCUCGUACCAAAUACAUUCCAUUUCCUAAAUGGAAUGUCAGUAUUGCAACUGUGAUGCCUUUAUAUCAUGUGAGAAGAACAAUAGAGUCCUGGGAGGCAAGUGCAGAUGACCCCAAGGUCCUUGUGGACAAGGAAGUAAAAGCUAAGAAGAAAUGGCACGUUUCUUAGGAAACAUUUCAAUAUUGUUAUUUAUACAAGGAUGCAGAGAACAGUACAGCUGGAGAAUUAAAUGGAGAGAUCAGCGCACAGAUGGACUUGCAGAGUGGCAAAUCACUAGAGGGCAAACGUCGCACUGCCUUAGAAAUGGAGUUGGUAUUGGUGAAUUCAACAAGAGGACCAGAAGGAGGAGGAAGAGGGAAGAUUUUAAUGCUGUGCAGUGGUGCUCAGGUCUAGGUCAAGAACAAUGAGUCUCAUAUGAUUGUCUCUUGACUUUGACUAUCACGGCCCCAGGUACUGAAGAUAAGAAUAUAGAGAAGUUUUUCUUCUGACAGACUUGCUGGAAGCCAGGUGGCUAUCGCUGGUAACAAUCCAGGAAGCUAACGGAUAACUUCUGUAACAACUGGACCCACACGGCCAGGACUUGAUUAAUGACUGACAUCUACCCUAAUUUUUGUGCCUACAUCCAAUUUAAGACCAAACAGAGAAAACGAAACACGCACCCCUAACCGAUCAUGCAGAAUGCCCCUACUUCUGUUUAGCCCGCCUACAGCUUCCCCAUGGCAAUAGCCUCCAAUCAGGAUACACCUGAACCCUUCCCUCCCCACCCACUGCCCUGCUAUAAAGCUUUCUCAUUUCUCUGCCUUUGAAUCACUGCCAAAACACAGCGACAGUAGCUAACUCCCUUGUUGUAUAGCAGGCUGUGAAAAAAUAGCACUUGCAUUUCUCAUUUGAUUGGUCGUCAUUUAUUUCUAUAACCAUGUGUUUCAUUCAUGC
RNAcentral lists this long non-coding RNA (1145 nucleotides) under Homo sapiens (human). RNAcentral's name for it is "non-protein coding lnc-C3orf85-4:4". The record is from RNAcentral. Lineage: Eukaryota; Metazoa; Chordata; Mammalia; Primates; Hominidae.